RNAcentral lists this ribosomal RNA (253 nucleotides) under uncultured bacterium. RNAcentral's name for it is "partial 16S ribosomal RNA". It matches the Rfam family "Bacterial small subunit ribosomal RNA", at positions 524 to 776 of the family's 1533-position model. The record is from RNAcentral.
UACGGAGGGUGCAAGCGUUGCUCGGAAUUAUUGGGCGUAAAGGGUAGGUAGGUGGUCUCAUUUGUCUGGGGUGAAAGCCUUGAGCUUAACUCAAGAAGUGCCCCAGAGACGGUGAGACUGGAGUUCUGGAGAGGGUCGUGGAAUUCCCGGUGUAGCGGUGAAAUGCGUAGAGAUCGGGAGGAACACCAGUGGCGAAGGCGGUUGCCUGGGGCUUUGCUGACGCUGAUGCGCGAAAGCGUGGGGAGCGAUCCGG